UUUUUGUACAUAUGGUGAACGUGUAAUAAGGGAUUUCUGAAAAUAAGAUUAAUUUUAAUGAUAAGUGAAGUGCAGUGUAGUGCAGUGCGAGUGUGAUGUGGGAAGCCUGAGCAUGGAGAGUGGUUUGCCGGCGUCCGACGCCGACGACGGCCCGCCGGGCUCGUCCGGCAGCGGCUCAUCGUCCGGUACCGGAUACUAUCACAAGAACGGCGAGUGGCGCGGCGAGCGGCGAUUACUGGACAUUACGAGAGACAAGCCAGUCAAGCUGUGCGUUCGAGUCGCGGUCCCCGUCAGGGACCACCCCAAGUUCAACUUCGUCGGCAAGCUGUUGGGGCCAAAAGGCAACUCUCUGAAGAGGUUACAAGAAGAUACGCUAUGCAAGAUGGCCGUGCUCGGCCGUGGAUCCAUGAAAGACAGACAGAAGGAAGAAGAGCUCCGCGUGUCUGGCGACCCGAAGUUCUCCCACUUAGCUGAAGAGCUCCACGUUGAAGUGAGCGCGUUCGCCACGCCCGCCGAGGCGCAUGCGCGAGUUGCGUACGCGCUUGCGGAACUACGACGAUUUCUAGUACCGGAUUACAACGACGACAUACGACAAGAGCAGAUGCUGGAGAUGCAGCUGCUUGCGCAGGCGCCGCGCUCGCCCCCCGCCACCCCGCCGCACCCCGCGCCUCGCCUCAGCCCCGCGCCCGAGGACCACAAACACAGGGCCGCAGGGCUGGCGUGCGCGCCGCUGGCGGGCGCCGCCCGCGACUAUUCACCGCCGCUACCCGCGGCGCCCGAGCACCAACAUCACCAGCUAGCAGCGAGCCAUGGAGUUCUGAUGGGUGGCGUGCUGCCGCCACACCUACUGCACAACUCCAUACUAGGUAGUAAUGGCGGGGAACUGCUGGGCCUGGGGUCGCCGGUGCUGCGGGGAGUGCUGCGCGCGCCGCCCGCGCCCCCCGCGCCCCCCGCGCCACAAGGUCGGUGCGGGUGGGGCUGCGACGGGUGCGGUGGUGGGGCGCAAGCGGCCGCUACUGGGCGCCGCGCGCGCUAACAUGUCGCCGACGAAGCGCGCCGUCAUCACGCUGCUCGCGCGCGCCCGCGCCGCCGCGCACCGCCGUCCGCCCGCUUGGCGACACGAACAUGGCGCCCUGCUGCCACUGCUGCGUGAGGAGUUUGCGGCGGCGGCGGGCGCGCCGCGCGUCAAUCUGGCGUAGUGCCCGCGCGAGCCUACCGUCGGCCUCGUA
This is an RNA transcript of Cydia fagiglandana, 1229 nucleotides long. It is a transcript of the gene named KH domain-containing, RNA-binding, signal transduction-associated protein 3-like, with no coding region annotated. The transcript has 11 exons. The record is from RefSeq and is a predicted model, not a curated record. Lineage: Eukaryota; Metazoa; Arthropoda; Insecta; Lepidoptera; Tortricidae.